GAUCGGCCCGCGUCUGAUUAGCUAGUUGGUGAGGUAACGGCUCACCAAGGCGACGAUCAGUAGCUGGUCUGAGAGGAUGAUCAGCCACAUUGGGACUGAGACACGGCCCAAACUCCUACGGGAGGCAGCAGUGGGGAAUAUUGGACAAUGGGCGCAAGCCUGAUCCAGCCAUGCUGCGUGAGUGAUGAAGGCCCUAGGGUUGUAAAGCUCUUUUGUGCGGGAAGAUAAUGACGGUACCGCAAGAAUAAGCCCCGGCUAACUUCGUGCCAGCAGCCGCGGUAAUACGAAGGGGGCUAGCGUUGCUCGGAAUCACUGGGCGUAAAGGGUGCGUAGGCUGGUCUUUAAGUCAGGGGUGAAAUCCUGGAGCUCAACUCCAGAACUGCCUUUGAAACUGAAGAUCUUGAGUUCGGGAGAGGUGAGUGGAACUGCGAGUGUAAAAGUGAAAUUUCUAGAUAUUCGCAAGAACACCCGUGGGCGAAAGCCGCUCACUGGCCCGAUACUGACGCUUAAGCACGAAAGCGUGGGGGAGCAAAAAAGGAUUAGAUUACCCUGGUAGUCCCCCCCCGUAAACGAUGAAUGCCCGCCGUGUUUGGGUUUACUCCACUAGGGGGCGCAGCUUAAGCUUUUAGCCUUUCGCCUG
This 640-nucleotide ribosomal RNA is filed under the name uncultured Alphaproteobacteria bacterium. Its description in RNAcentral is "bacterial SSU rRNA". It matches the Rfam family "Bacterial small subunit ribosomal RNA", at positions 224 to 875 of the family's 1533-position model. The record is from RNAcentral. Lineage: Bacteria; Pseudomonadati; Pseudomonadota; Alphaproteobacteria.